GUAGGGCGCAAGCGUUGUCCGGAAUUAUUGGGCGUAAAGAGCUCGUAGGCGGUCUGUCACGUCGGGAGUGAAAACCCGGGGCUUAACUCCGGGCCUGCUUUCGAUACGGGCAGACUAGAGUAUGGCAGGGGAGACUGGAAUUCCUGGUGUAGCGGUGAAAUGCGCAGAUAUCAGGAGGAACACCGGUGGCGAAGGCGGGUCUCUGGGCCAUCACUGACGCUGAGGAGCGAAAGCGUGGGGAGCGAACAGGAUUAGAUACCCUGGUAGUCCACGCCGUAAACGUUGGGCGCUAGGUGUGGGGGUCUUUCCACGACCUCUGUGCCGCAGCUAACGCAUUAAGCGCCCCGCCUGGGGAGUACGGCCGCAAGGCUAAA
Molecule: ribosomal RNA, 374 nt
Filed under: uncultured bacterium
Lineage: Bacteria
Description: bacterial SSU rRNA
Rfam family: Bacterial small subunit ribosomal RNA
Source: RNAcentral